UUUGAUUUGUGAUUUACAGUUGAAAUAAGAUUUUCAUUGUACAAUAUUUGGGAUGGUGUAAGCUGUAAUGUCUAGUCCAAUUUUUGUUGCAUUGUUAAUUUGUUUUAACUAAUUGAUAUUUCCCCCCCUAACAUGGAUUUCAAGGACUGGCUGACCCUUGAAAGAAACUCAUCAUGUUCUUGUUCCAAUCUCAAAUGAAUGUUAUUGUUCAGAGGAAACGCACUUGUUCCCAACCUGAUCGCUUACCUAAUCGACUCUAAUGUCUUUAACUUGAAUUAGAAGCAAUGCCUAUUAUAGCAUUCUAACUUGCAAUCAAGGCCAUGCUUCAUUUGAACGACUAUACAUUUAUGCAUCUCAUUGCAUGUAGUCUGACAUUUGCAUCUGGUGUAUAUUUUUAUGCUGGUCUGACCACUAGAACUUGUGUCCUUUCUGGGAUGGUUGAUAAUUCGCGGUGAGACAAGGCAGGCUGACCAUUUGAUGCCAAGAACACUAAAUUUGAUCCAUGAACGGCGGCUACGCAACUUUCAAUUUGAAGAAUCAGACAUAGGGAUAUGUAACUAUACCCGACACCUGUACCCGAGUCCAGGUAUCAUAGCUUCUACAACAGGUGAAGUAGAAAAAGGGAAUGGGAGAGAGGACAACUGGGAGCAAUAAAAUAUGCAGUCAUAUUUCUGUAAUUCCAAAUGCAUAUGUAUAUAGUUCAUGCUCUUUAUUCA
This is a long non-coding RNA of Tripterygium wilfordii, 716 nucleotides long. RefSeq lists it as uncharacterized. NCBI's taxonomy places the organism in Eukaryota, Viridiplantae, Streptophyta, Magnoliopsida, Celastrales, Celastraceae. The transcript has 2 exons. The record is from RefSeq and is a predicted model, not a curated record.